This 376-nucleotide ribosomal RNA is filed under the name Escherichia coli. Its description in RNAcentral is "bacterial SSU rRNA". It matches the Rfam family "Bacterial small subunit ribosomal RNA", at positions 724 to 1094 of the family's 1533-position model. Lineage: Bacteria; Pseudomonadati; Pseudomonadota; Gammaproteobacteria; Enterobacterales; Enterobacteriaceae. The record is from RNAcentral.
UCCCCCUGGACGAAGACUGACGCUCAGGUGCGAAAGCGUGGGGAGCAAACAGGAUUAGAUACCCUGGUAGUCCACGCCGUAAACGAUGUCGACUUGGAGGUUGUGCCCUUGAGGCGUGGCUUCCGGAGCUAACGCGUUAAGUCGACCGCCUGGGGAGUACGGCCGCAAGGUUAAAACUCAAAUGAAUUGACGGGGGCCCGCACAAGCGGUGGAGCAUGUGGUUUAAUUCGAUGCAACGCGAAGAACCUUACCUGGUCUUGACAUCCACAGAACUUUCCAGAGAUGGAAAGGUGCCUUCGGGAACUGUGAGACAGGUGCUGCAUGGCUGUCGUCAGCUCGUGUUGUGAAAUGUUGGGUUAAGAAUGCACCCAUGAUU